RNAcentral lists this ribosomal RNA (492 nucleotides) under uncultured bacterium. RNAcentral's name for it is "partial 16S ribosomal RNA". It matches the Rfam family "Bacterial small subunit ribosomal RNA", at positions 29 to 507 of the family's 1533-position model. The record is from RNAcentral.
AGUGAACGCUGGCGGUAGGCCUAACACAUGCAAGUCGAACGGCAGCACAGUAAGAGCUUGCUCUUACGGGUGGCGAGUGGCGGACGGGUGAGGAAUACAUCGGAAUCUACUUUUUCGUGGGGGAUAACGUAGGGAAACUUACGCUAAUACCGCAUACGACCUACGGGUGAAAGCAGGGGAUCUUCGGACCUUGCGCGAUUGAAUGAGCCGAUGUCGGAUUAGCUAGUUGGCGGGGUAAAGGCCCACCAAGGCGACGAUCCGUAGCUGGUCUGAGAGGAUGAUCAGCCACACUGGAACUGAGACACGGUCCAGACUCCUACGGGAGGCAGCAGUGGGGAAUAUUGGACAAUGGGGGCAAGCCUGAUCCAGCCAUACCGCGUGGGUGACGAAGGCCUUCGGGUUGUAAAGCCCUUUUGUUGGGAAAGAAAAGCAGCAGGUUAAUACCCCGCUGUUCUGACGGUACCCAAAGAAUAAGCACCGGCUAACUUCGUG